CAGAACCAAAGGUUGUUUGGUGUGUUCAUACAAUCCCUGGAUUUAUAGUUGGAUUUUCUAUAAAGGAAAAAUGAUGUAAUUAGUAUCCUGUUUUUUCCUAAAGAAAUAAUACUAUCAUAAAAAUUCUGUCUAUCCUUUGUACCCCAGGAAAAUGGACAUGAACUUUGAAUUUUCCCUUUCUCCAAAUGUUUGGCUUUUUAUUUUCACUGAUAAGCAUUAUGCUAUGUUCUUAGAAGACAAAAGCAACUCUUGCCAGUUUUGAAUAAUUUCUGCAUGAAUAGACCAGUAAGAGGAAACCAACCAGCAGGCCUCCCAGAUAGUAUCAAGGAGCUGAAACUUACCAGAACACCGCAUCUGGACAAUGAGACAUCAGACCCCUCAUCUGUUGUGAUUGCCUAAUAGACCAUGUGCUUCCUGUUGACCAAUUCCUCUUCCUUACCUUUCCCUAAUUCCUGUUUUCAUGGCUACAUUUCUUCCCUGCUAUAUAAACCCUUAAUUUUAGUCUAUUAGGUAGAUGGAUUUGAGACUGAUCACCUAGCUCCUUGGCUGCAGCACCCGAAUAAAGCUUUUUCCCCUGGAAAUACUCAUUGUUUCAGUGACUGGCAUUCUAUGCAGUGAGCAGCAGGACCUAGACAGAACCUCUGACAUUUCAGUAACAAAAGGACCUUAGAACACAUCUUCUAGCUGGAAGUCUUC
This 696-nucleotide long non-coding RNA is filed under the name Pan troglodytes (chimpanzee). Its description in RNAcentral is "long non-coding RNA NONPTRT002998". The record is from RNAcentral. Lineage: Eukaryota; Metazoa; Chordata; Mammalia; Primates; Hominidae.